UAGGGAAUCUUCCACAAUGGGCGAAAGCCUGAUGGAGCAACGCCGCGUGUGUGAUGAAGGGUCUCGGCUCGUAAAACACUGUUGUAAGAGAAGAAUGACAUUGAGAGUAACUGUUCAAUGUGUGACGGUAUCUUACCAGAAAGGAACGGCUAAAUACGUGCCAA
This 164-nucleotide ribosomal RNA is filed under the name uncultured bacterium. Its description in RNAcentral is "partial 16S rRNA". It matches the Rfam family "Bacterial small subunit ribosomal RNA", at positions 355 to 511 of the family's 1533-position model. The record is from RNAcentral.